GUAGUGGGGGACAACGUUCCGAAAGGAGCGCUAAUACCGCAUACGUCCUACGGGAGAAAGUGGGGGAUCUUCGGACCUCACGCUAUCAGAUGAGCCUAGGUCGGAUUAGCUAGUAGGUGGGGUAAUGGCUCACCUAGGCGACGAUCCGUAACUGGUCUGAGAGGAUGAUCAGUCACACUGGAACUGAGACACGGUCCAGACUCCUACGGGAGGCAGCAGUGGGGAAUAUUGGACAAUGGGCGAAAGCCUGAUCCAGCCAUGCCGCGUGUGUGAAGAAGGUCUUCGGAUUGUAAAGCACUUUAAGUUGGGAGGAAGGGCAGUAAGUUAAUACCUUGCUGUUUUGACGUUACCAACAGAAUAAGCACCGGCUAACUUCGUGCCAGCAGCCGCGGUAAUACGAAGGGUGCAAGCGUUAAUCGGAAUUACUGGGCGUAAAGCGCGCGUAGGUGGUUUGGUAAGAUGGAUGUGAAAUCCCCGGGCUCAACCUGGGAACUGCAUCCAUAACUGCCUGACUAGAGUACGGUAGAGGGUGGUGGAAUUUCCUGUGUAGCGGUGAAAUGCGUAGAUAUAGGAAGGAACACCAGUGGCGAAGGCGACCACCUGGGACUGAUACUGACACUGAGGUGCGAAAGCGUGGGGAGCAAACAGGAUUAGAUACCCUGGGUAGUCCACGCCGUAAACGAUGUCGACUAGCCGUUGGGAUCCUUGAGAUCUUAGUGGCGCAGCUAACGCGAUAAGUCGACCGCCUGGGGAGUACGGCCGCAAGGUUAAAACUCAAAUGAAUUGACGGGGGCCCGCACAACCGUGGAGCAUGUGUUUAAUUCGAAUCAACGCGAAGAACCUUUACCCUGGCCUUGACUGUCCGGAUUCUGCAAGAUGCGGAAGUGCCUUCCGUGAAUCGGAACACAGUGCUGCAUGCUGUCGUCAGCUCCUGUCCGCAAAGGUGCGCUAGUCCGUAACGAGCUGUACUCCUUGGCCUCUACUACAGCACGUGAUGGUGG
Molecule: ribosomal RNA, 1001 nt
Filed under: Pseudomonas citronellolis
Lineage: Bacteria; Pseudomonadati; Pseudomonadota; Gammaproteobacteria; Pseudomonadales; Pseudomonadaceae
Description: bacterial SSU rRNA
Rfam family: Bacterial small subunit ribosomal RNA
Source: RNAcentral